GUCUCCAUGAGUGAAAAACCUCAGACUCUGUCACAGUGACUGCCAUUAACUGAUGAAAUCAGUUAGGCUAGCAGCACUACCUGCUGAAAACUGACCCAGCAAAGUCACAGAGGAAGAGAUGGCAGUAUAGAAUAAAUGAAACAAAAAGAUAGUGGACUGUGUUUUCUUCUUGUUCUGUGUUUAGAAAGAUGGUUCUGCAUAUGCAAGCACCACCGAAAAGUGAACAGCUGUAGCACCACAGCUCCAUUCAGGGACAUCCUCUAAAGGACAGAGGUGAAGGACAUCUUCCCAGUGUGCAGAGCAGUGCCCCUGGAGGAGAAAUGGCAAGAGUAAUGAAAAGAACUCCGGAACUCAGAUUUCAGCUGACUAAAUGUGCUAACUAUGAGGCCCUGGACCAGUUCUUGAAUGCGCAAAAUGUUUUAUUUACUCAUUUACAAAGUAAGAGUUGGGCUACAGGAUCUGCAAACUUACUUCCAUCCAUGAAGAUUUUGGCCUCCAAUUGUGAUCAAAUUCUGAAUGGUAAAACCAAGGCUUGGAGAGAGUUUGAGUUGCCUGCCUGAGUUCAUAUGGCUGGAUUCUAUUAUAUAUAAAACGGAAAUGCUACCAGCUUGGAGCUUUUCAAAUUUUCAGGACUUUUGGUCAUUCUUUUUUCCAGUGAGCAUGUGAAUCAAGUAGAAACAAAACUAAACACAAACACACACCAAAUAAAGAGGAAACAUAGAAAGUUCUCCCAUGCAUCCCUUCUCACCCCAACCCUGCUGUUUGCAUCCUGUCCUGCUGAGAUAGAUUUCAGGAAGGCAAACCACCUAAGCACCCCUCGAUUUGCCCAUUGUUCUAAUUUUGCAGACCUAUCAUUUUUCACCUGAGCACAGUUGCCAAGCACCGGUAAGAUGCCUUGGUGAAAAACCCACACCUCCCAGACUGCAGCCAUCCUGUCUGUCCCCUCAGUCCCAGCCAUUCCAUCAUGCCGUGUGGACCUGCCUGGAGCUGUUUGUUGAGCUGCUUCAUGUUACUCUUUGACUGAGAGAGAGACAAAUGUUCCAUAUUAUCUUUAAUUUCCAUAAAAUUGUUUUAAUCUUUGCUUUAUAAUAAAUGUAUAACAGCGCCCUCGGGGGAUCUCUGUUUUGUAUUAUAGGUGUCUCAGUUGGAGUU
Molecule: long non-coding RNA, 1152 nt
Organism: Choloepus didactylus (southern two-toed sloth)
Lineage: Eukaryota; Metazoa; Chordata; Mammalia; Pilosa; Megalonychidae
Exons: 5
Source: RefSeq, a predicted model, not a curated record